This 1050-nucleotide ribosomal RNA is filed under the name Klebsiella variicola. RNAcentral describes it as "bacterial SSU rRNA". It matches the Rfam family "Bacterial small subunit ribosomal RNA", at positions 28 to 1069 of the family's 1533-position model. The record is from RNAcentral. Lineage: Bacteria; Pseudomonadati; Pseudomonadota; Gammaproteobacteria; Enterobacterales; Enterobacteriaceae.
AUUGAACGCUGGCGGCAGGCCUAACACAUGCAAGUCGAGCGGUAGCACAGAGAGCUUGCUCUCGGGUGACGAGCGGCGGACGGGUGAGUAAUGUCUGGGAAACUGCCUGAUGGAGGGGGAUAACUACUGGAAACGGUAGCUAAUACCGCAUAACGUCGCAAGACCAAAGUGGGGGACCUUCGGGCCUCAUGCCAUCAGAUGUGCCCAGAUGGGAUUAGCUGGUAGGUGGGGUAACGGCUCACCUAGGCGACGAUCCCUAGCUGGUCUGAGAGGAUGACCAGCCACACUGGAACUGAGACACGGUCCAGACUCCUACGGGAGGCAGCAGUGGGGAAUAUUGCACAAUGGGCGCAAGCCUGAUGCAGCCAUGCCGCGUGUGUGAAGAAGGCCUUCGGGUUGUAAAGCACUUUCAGCGGGGAGGAAGGCGGUGAGGUUAAUAACCUCAUCGAUUGACGUUACCCGCAGAAGAAGCACCGGCUAACUCCGUGCCAGCAGCCGCGGUAAUACGGAGGGUGCAAGCGUUAAUCGGAAUUACUGGGCGUAAAGCGCACGCAGGCGGUCUGUCAAGUCGGAUGUGAAAUCCCCGGGCUCAACCUGGGAACUGCAUUCGAAACUGGCAGGCUAGAGUCUUGUAGAGGGGGGUAGAAUUCCAGGUGUAGCGGUGAAAUGCGUAGAGAUCUGGAGGAAUACCGGUGGCGAAGGCGGCCCCCUGGACAAAGACUGACGCUCAGGUGCGAAAGCGUGGGGAGCAAACAGGAUUAGAUACCCUGGUAGUCCACGCUGUAAACGAUGUCGAUUUGGAGGUUGUGCCCUUGAGGCGUGGCUUCCGGAGCUAACGCGUUAAAUCGACCGCCUGGGGAGUACGGCCGCAAGGUUAAAACUCAAAUGAAUUGACGGGGGCCCGCACAAGCGGUGGAGCAUGUGGUUUAAUUCGAUGCAACGCGAAGAACCUUACCUGGUCUUGACAUCCACAGAACUUUCCAGAGAUGGAUUGGUGCCUUCGGGAACUGUGAGACAGGUGCUGCAUGGCUGUCGUCAGCUCGUGUUGUG